GAUGAAGAACGCAGCGGAAUGCGAUACGUAAUGUGAAUUGCAGAUUUCAGUGAAUCAUCGAAUCUUUGAACGCACAUUGCGCCCGCUAGUAUUCUGGCGGGCAUGCCUGUUCGAGCGUCAUUUCAACCAUCAAGCCCUAGGCUUGCGUUGGAGCCCUGCGGCUGCCGCAGGCUCCCAAAUCCAGUGGCGGGCUCGUCGUCGUACCGAGUGCAGUAAACAUCCUCGCUCAGGGAACGUGACGGGUUCUUGCCGUGACACCCCCCACAUAUCAAGGUUGACCUCGGAUCAGGUAGGAAUACCCGCUGAACUUAAGCAUAUCAAUAAGCGGAGGA
Molecule: unclassified non-coding RNA, 332 nt
Filed under: soil metagenome
Description: partial contains 5.8S ribosomal RNA, internal transcribed spacer 2, and large subunit ribosomal RNA
Rfam family: 5.8S ribosomal RNA (bases 1-120)
Source: RNAcentral